GACGAACGCUGGCGGCGUGCUUAACACAUGCAAGUCGAACGGAAAGGCCCAGCUUGCUGGGUGCUCGAGUGGCGAACGGGUGAGUAACACGUGGGUGAUCUGCCCCUAACUUCGGGAUAAGCUUGGGAAACUGGGUCGAAUACCGGAUAGGACAAUCGUUUAGUGUCGGUUGUGGAAAGUUUUUUCGGUUAGGGAUGAGCCCGCUGCCUAUCAGCUUGUUGGUGGGGUAAUGGCCUACCAAGGCGUCGACGGGUAGCCGGCCUGAGAGGGUGGACGGCCACAUUGGGACUGAGAUACGGCCCAGACUCCUACGGGAGGCAGCAGUGGGGAAUAUUGCACAAUGGGCGCAAGCCUGAUGCAGCGACGCCGCGUGGGGGAUGACGGCCUUCGGGUUGUAAACCUCUUUCGACAGGGACGAAGCUUUGGUGACGGUACCUGUAUAAGAAGCACCGGCUAACUACGUG
RNAcentral lists this ribosomal RNA (464 nucleotides) under uncultured bacterium. RNAcentral describes it as "partial 16S ribosomal RNA". It matches the Rfam family "Bacterial small subunit ribosomal RNA", at positions 28 to 507 of the family's 1533-position model. The record is from RNAcentral.